This 274-nucleotide ribosomal RNA is filed under the name uncultured bacterium. RNAcentral describes it as "partial 16S ribosomal RNA". It matches the Rfam family "Bacterial small subunit ribosomal RNA", at positions 523 to 796 of the family's 1533-position model. The record is from RNAcentral.
AUACGGAGGGUGCAAGCGUUGUCCGGAUUUAUAGGGUUUAAAGGGUGCGUAGGUGGCGUGUUGAGUCAGUGGUGAAAGCCUGCAGCUCAACUGUAGAGGUGCCAUUGAUACUGACAUGCUUGAGUAUGGACGAGGUAGGCGGAAUUUGUGGUGUAGCGGUGAAAUGCAUAGAUACCACAAAGAACACCGAUGGCGAAGGCAGCUUACUGGACCAUAACUGACACUGAGGCACGAAAGUGUGGGUAGCGAACAGGAUUAGAAACCCCAGUAGUCC